CUUGUUUCAGCAGAACAUAUACUGAAAUUGGAAUGAUACAGAGAACAUUAACAUGGUUUCUAUGCAAGGGGGACACAGAAAUUUGUAAAGUGUUCCAUAUUAAA
This 104-nucleotide small nuclear RNA is filed under the name Propithecus coquereli (Coquerel's sifaka). Lineage: Eukaryota; Metazoa; Chordata; Mammalia; Primates; Indriidae. The record is from RNAcentral.